UUGGUUAAGUUAGAAAGGGCGCACGGUGGAUGCCUUGGCACUAGGAGCCGAAGAAGGACGGGACUAACACCGAUAUGCUUUGGGGAGCUGUACGUAAGCGUUGAUCCAGAGAUUUCCGAAUGGGGGAACCCACUAUCUUUAGUCGGAUAGUAUCCUUACGUGAAUACAUAGCGUGAGGAAGGCAGACCCAGGGAACUGAAACAUCUAAGUACCUGGAGGAAGAGAAAGAAAAAUCGAUUUCCUGAGUAGCGGCGAGCGAAACGGAAAGAGCCCAAACCAAGAAGCUUGCUUCUUGGGGUUGUAGGACACUCUAUACGGAGUUACAAAAGAAAGUUAUAAAUGAAGCGGUCUGGAAAGGCCCGCCAAAGACGGUAACAGCCCGGUAGUUGAAAUGGCUUUCCCUCCAGAGUGGAUCCUGAGUACGGCGGAACACGUGAAAUUCCGUCGGAAUCCGGGAGGACCAUCUCCCAAGGCUAAAUACUCCCUAGUGACCGAUAGUGAACCAGUACCGUGAGGGAAAGGUGAAAAGCACCCCGGAAGGGGAGUGAAACAGUUCCUGAAACCGUGUGCCUACAAGUAGUUAGAGCCCGUUAAUGGGUGAUAGCGUGCCUUUUGUAGAAUGAACCGGCGAGUUACGAUUUGUUGCAAGGUUAAGCGGAAAAAGCGGAGCCGUAGCGAAAGCGAGUCUGAAUAGGGCGCAUAAGUAACAGGUCGUAGACCCGAAACCAGGUGAUCUACCCAUGUCCAGGAUGAAGGUAAGGUAAUACUUACUGGAGGUCCGAACCCACGCACGUUGAAAAGUGCGGGGAUGAGGUGUGGGUAGCGGAGAAAUUCCAAUCGAACUUGGAGAUAGCUGGUUCUCUCCGAAAUAGCUUUAGGGCUAGCCUCGAGGUAAAGAGUCAUGGAGGUAGAGCACUGUUUGGACUAGGGGCCCUUCUCGGGUUACCGAAUUCAGAUAAACUCCGAAUGCCAUGUACUUAUACUCGGGAGUCAGACUGCGAGUGAUAAGAUCCGUAGUCGAAAGGGAAACAGCCCAGACCACCAGUUAAGGUCCCCAAAUAUAUGUUAAGUGGAAAAGGAUGUGGGGUUGCUUAGACAACCAGGAUGUUGGCUUAGAAGCAGCCACCAUUGAAAGAGUGCGUAAUAGCUCACUGGUCGAGUGACCCCGCGCCGAAAAUGUACCGGGGCUAAACAUAUUACCGAAACUGUGGAUGAACCUCUUUAGAGGUUCGUGGUAGGAGAGCGUUCU
RNAcentral lists this ribosomal RNA (1249 nucleotides) under Listeria monocytogenes. RNAcentral's name for it is "partial 23S ribosomal RNA". It matches the Rfam family "Bacterial large subunit ribosomal RNA", at positions 1 to 1242 of the family's 2925-position model. The record is from RNAcentral. Lineage: Bacteria; Bacillati; Bacillota; Bacilli; Caryophanales; Listeriaceae.